RNAcentral lists this long non-coding RNA (4406 nucleotides) under Citrus maxima (pomelo). RNAcentral describes it as "long non-coding RNA (CMAX_LNC001086)". Lineage: Eukaryota; Viridiplantae; Streptophyta; Magnoliopsida; Sapindales; Rutaceae. The record is from RNAcentral.
AUUUGAUGCUCUACUUAAUUAGGAACCUGGACGAGCAGAAGCUGAUUUUGGCCGCCUUGAUGCCAAGACAGUUGUAAAGAACAUUUACAUACUCUUCUCCAGAAGUGAAAUACCCAUAGCACCUGAAAACAAAGAAAUCAUGGAUUUGGUGAGUGAUUCAACUCCUCUGCCACCUUGGUUCACGGAGGAAGAUCUCGCAGCUUAUGGAGCCUUGUAUGAGAAGUCUGGAUUUCGAACUGCAUUGCAAGUUCCGUAUAGGUGAAGCCUCAAUCCUUGAACAGGAUUAAGUUGUAGAAUACUUAUCAAAUAAGGACAUCAAUCCAUAUGAUAAAAUUAAAAUUGAAUUUGAGGCUGAAAAACACUGUCACUUGAUUUUGCAAUUUUUUGUUAUAGGACCCUUCGUGAAAACUUCAGCACACCAGAAGUGACAGCAGUUAAAGUUCCAGCAUUACUGAUAAUGGGGGACAAAGACUAUUUCCUCAAAUUUCCAGGGAUUGAGGACUACAUAAGAAGCGGCAAAGCGAAAGACCUUGUGCCCAAUUUGGAGAUCAUACAUUUGCCUGAAGGGAGCCAUUUUGUUCAAGAGCAAUCACCAGAAGAAGUGAACCAGCUAAUCCUCACCUUUCUCAACAAACAUGUUUGAUUGCCAGCCAAGGCUUUCUUGCUGUAUGUCUUAAGGGUUUGCUGGAGAUUAUGCGAGUCCCCUAGAAUUAUGUCUAGUCUAUGUUGCUUGAACAAUCGCUCUCUGUGUUAUCAUUUAGUAGUGGUGAAUGUAUGUGACUUAAUUUGGCAUGUGAUUAAUAUGAUCUUUUCAGAUGCCAUGAACAAUAUAUUAGUAAAGGAUACCUUGUUUUAAGGCCAAAUGGCUUCUAUGCUAUAGAUAGAAACUUUCUGUGCAAAUUAUUAUGUAAAGGUUACAAUAUUUUGAAAUUAUUGGUGAAGGAAAAAAACAAAAGUCAAAGCAGUUUGUAGUUAUAAAAUAAUGUUAUCAUAUGUCAAUCAUACAAUUCCGUUUGUAGUUAAAUGUCCAUAAGGUAAAUUAUUAUUAUGCACAAAAUAUGAAAAAAAUAAUAAUAAUUCAUGCUCCCUCUUUAAUCCAUCUCUUCUAGAACUCAAGAUUAUACGAAGUUGUUUUAUAUUGGUAAAGUUGCAAGUGGCCAAUAAUUUAUUUUCUAGGAAAUCUUCUUUGAAUUUGGGCUUUAAAUUCUCUCUGUGUACAUAGUCUUUCUUGUAUAUAUAUGUAUAUGUGUGUGUGUGUAUAUACAUACAUAAAUACACAAAAAGAAAAGAGCUAUGAGAGAAAAAGUGUAUCGUUAAGGGCAUGAAUUUUAUUGUUUCAAGUGAUUAAAAACAUUAUUUUAUUAUCUAUUAUGCUUUUCCUAGUCUUCUGUAUGUUUUUAGCAAUUUUAAUUUUAUUGUAGUAUGUCUGGAAUUGGAAGGAAGACUGGCAUAUAAAACAUGGAAAGAGCAUAGAGAUAUAAAGCCAUGGGAGAACAGUUGCAUAGAGAAGGAGAAAGGGUUGUAAAACCUGUAAAAGAAGAAGUUGCAUAAAUCGUUGUAAUGUAAUACAUAUACAAUAAGUGUCUGUUUAGUAUUAAAAUGAGCUUGGAGGGUAAAAUAUAAAUAUUUGAACCUUUUAAGUUUGUCUAUUAAGUAAAUGGGUUUGGUGAGUAUUUUUUUUUCAUAAUUUAGUUAAGGGCUGAUUAACUAAAUUAAUCUUCUCUUAAGAGACCAAUUAAGUCAAUAUGAUCUCUUUUUUCUCUUCUUAUACUUUUCAAAUUCAACUUUCCUUCGCUACUCUUUCUGUGCAAUUAUUAUUAUUAUUAUUUAUAUUUGUUGGUUUUCAUCACGUUUUGCACAAAUGAAGUUUAUUGUGAUAUGCAAUCUUCUUAGCACGACCCGGUUAAUGCUUUUGUCAAUUUUAUGGAAAUGGAUUGCGCUUACCCCAUGGCAAUCCCACACUUGAACAAAAGCAAGCGAGAGGCUGCAAAGCCAUGAAAUUAUCUAAUGAAGUUCAUAUGGUAUUUUACUUUUUGGGUCAAGAUUAUUAGAGUAAAUAUAAUAAAAUCAUAUUAUUCAUAGAGGUUGAUAUUGAUUGGUAAUUUUUUUCUCUUUGUUAAUGUGUAAAAAAAUAAUAAUGUAAAAGGUUCUUAUUGUAAAAGUAAACAAAAAAUAACAAUAGGAAUGUUGCUAAUUUAACAACAAUGAUAUUUUGAGGUACUUUUUUUAAAAGGGUGGAAUUAUUUACACUUUAAAAUUACUUUAAACACUCUAUUACUCUAUACACUCAUAUAUUAGAUCUAAAAGAUUAAGUUUUACUUCCUACACUCAUUAAAAUGUAAAAAAAAAAAACCUUAAUUUAAACUAAUUUAUUCAAAACACCAAUCAAACUAUUUAGUACAACCAAAAUGAAUUAAUAACAAUUUUAGUAUAUCCAACAAUAGAAUCAAGUUAUAUUCUAAAUAAAUUCUUUAACAUAAAUUUUAGUCAUUAACUUUUGUCAAUUAAAAGUGAUUUUUUAGCCCCCAAUUUUUUAACCAAAUAAUUUUAAAAAAAAAGUGGCCAUUUGGCCCAAAAAAAAAGAAAAACAAAAACAAAAAAAAGAACAAUAAGGAGAAGAAGUAGGCGAAGAAAAAGAAGAAGAUUGAAAAAUGGACGAAGUAGAAGAAGAGUAGAAGACAAAGAAAAAGAAGCAGAAAAUUAUAAAAAAAUAUCUUUUUUUUUUAAAUCAAAAAAUAAAAAUAUGUUCAAAAUAUAUUAAGAAUUGAUUUGCUCCGUGUAAAAUUAUGUUAAAAACAUAUUAAGAAUUGAUUUGCUCCGUGUUUAACUAAUUAUUGUUAAUAGAUUGGAUUUAAAAUUUUAAGAUUUACGGUAAGAAAAUUAUAUGUUAAAUAGUGAAUAUUCACAAUAAUUGUAUUAUGUAAGUUUAAAAGAAAGAAUACUUUAUUAAUCAUUGAUACGAUGAAUAUCUUCAUAAUAAAAAUAAUUUAUUAAAAUUAGAGAGUUUAAAAUAAUUUUAUGCGUGUAAACAACUUCAUUUCUUUUAAAAUACGGAUUAAAGGAGCAUUAAUCUCAAAUUAUAAAUACCGAAUGGGAUAUUACCUCAUAAAUGUUCGAGACAAGGACAAAACUCACUGGACUUGUCGACUUCGAAACUCUGAAACGAAUCUCUCUUAUCAUCCAUCUUCAUAUGCGCAAGAGUCAUCAUUACCCAUACUCUGUCUUCAUACACCUUAACAUAAACAGCAGUGCGCAGGAUUUGCUCUCCAAAAAUGGACAAAAUUGAGCACAAGUACAUCAAAGUACAAGGCCUGAACCUUCACGUCGCCGAGACAGGAACAGGUUUGCCAGUCACCAAUCCCGCUUUCCUUAAUCCUAAUCGUGCACCCACCUAAAUAAGUUUUAAUCAAACACCGUUCAUUUUUGUGUGUGAUGACGUCUGCAGGUCCAAAUGUGGUGGUGUUUUUGCAUGGGUUCCCCGAGAUAUGGUACUCGUGGCGCCAUCAGAUGGUGGCUGUAGCCGCUGCUGGCUUCAGGGCUAUUGCGCCUGAUUACAGAGGCUACGGCCUCUCUGACCCACCUGCUGAACCCGAAAAGGCCUCCUUUAAAGACAUCACCAAUGAUCUCCUCGCCACUUUAGAUCACCUCGGAAUUAACAAGGUAAUUAGCAUUAAAUUUAAUUGUUUCUUAAUGAUAAAUUUACCGAAAUGUUUCUGCUCACAUCAGGGUGUAUCAUUAGUUUCCAUUUUUACAAAUUGAUUGGGCGGGACUAGGAUGUUCCUUAGUUCAGAAGACUGUGUAUUUCCAUCUGCCCUUGUAUGGCGCAAAAGAAAUGUGCUUUAUUUACGUAGAUUAACUGUUGAUUAUCACUGAUUCUGUCUCUCAAUGAUAAUGAGCAUGUAUGUAUAGGUUUUUCUUGUUGCAAAAGAUUUUGGAGCCCGGCCUGCCUACCUGUUUGCACUUCUACACCCAGAGAGGGUCUCCGGUGUUAUUACAUUAGGAGUGCCGUUUAUACCUCCAGGUACUGCUGAAUUUCACAAAUCCCUUCCUGAAGGUUUCUACAUAUCGAGAUGGCAGGUAUGCGCGGUGGUUUGUUGCUUUUAAUUACACAGAAUUAGAGAAACAAAAUGACUUUUUUUUUUUGUUUGAAUGUUUUGGCAUUUGAUCAGGAACCUGGACGAGCAGAAGCUGAUUUUGGUCGCCAUGAUGCAAAGACUGUGGUGAGAAACAUUUACAUUCUUUUCUCCAGAAGUGAAAUACCAAUAGCACCUGAAAACAAGGAGAUCAUGGAUUUGGUGGAUGCUUCUACUCCUCUUCCACCUUGGCUCACAGCGGAAGAUCUUGCUACUUAUGGAGCUUUGUACGAGAAGUCUGGAUUUCGAACUGCAUUGCAAGUUCCAUAUAGG